Molecule: long non-coding RNA, 706 nt
Organism: Syngnathoides biaculeatus (alligator pipefish)
Lineage: Eukaryota; Metazoa; Chordata; Actinopteri; Syngnathiformes; Syngnathidae
Exons: 5
Source: RefSeq, a predicted model, not a curated record
GUGCCAAAAAGACCGCUACGUUGCAAAGGUGUUACAGCUGGAGCUAACUAGAGCCAAUUAGAACCUGCUGUUGUCGUUCAUCAUCUCCUAUAAAAGCUUCCAUGGUUGGUCUUUUUCAAAACUCUCAUUGGAACAAUGGCUGCCCUUUGGGUUCUGGCUGGGCUGCUGUAUGCAGUCUUCAUGAAUAAAGGUCUUUGUUUUCCAGGUGGAAUGAAACAAGGAGCAUCUAAUCUGUUUCAAGGUCUACAUGAUUUAUUUCCUCUUUUGAAAUUGAAAGCUGUAUAUCUCCGUUCUUUGGAUUUUGGUGUUAGACUACAUACCCCAGCCCAACCAGCAAGCGAUAAGCCAUUAAAAGAUGAUGCAAGAGGAACAACAUGAGCAGCAAUGGCCAACAGGACUCCUUCAGCUAUAACAUGACCAUAGGUCACCACGAUGACUCAGUCAGCCACGACCAGCAACGUGAGCAAGGGGCACCACCGCCACGACGACUCAGUCGGCUACAAUUUGAGCACGGGACAGAAAUGAGUCAUUUCAACAAGUCCAGAAUGUCAAGCAGACCACAAAGAGCCAUCAGGCUCUCAAGCUGUGUGACAAUGGGUCAGGCUACUAGAACAAACUUGACGAAACAUAUGAACUCUUUGUGUAAGGAAUGGGUGAGCUGUGUCAUGUAACUACUUGUGGCAGACAAUUAAAAUCUUUAAUGUCA